UGGCCUGAGGGUGAUCCUCCUCCCGCUCCAUCCUCCACCGUGUGCAGAUACAUUAUACUCUGCACCAUCUUGGCGUUUCUCAUCAUCUGUACGUUUGUGGGGGUUGUGAUGGAUGCAGAAUAUUUUCCUUGCAUCGUCGAUUGUACCCCAUUUUGUCUCCUGCCGUAUCGUUGCGUACGGGUAGGCAUGAUACACAAAGUCUAUUUCCAGAACUUUCUAUAACUGACAUUUGAGAAUCGUCCUUUAUUUUAUCCUGCAUGCUACUGUGUGUUUCAGGAACAUCAGUAAUAACGUGAUGGCGACACUUUAUCUGGUGUUCAGAGUGGCCAAAUUUCAAGAACAAUUUACAGAGUACACAGACCGUUUCCUCCAGGAGCAGAUUCAGUACGGCUUUCAGGCUUUAGUCAGUCCGAACCCGCUGACCGUUCCUGAGUUUGGAGAAAUUCAGAGCAUUGUCCUUCUUGGUAAAGGCAACUCAGCGACAAUUAACCUUUAUACAUCUGUGUUUAGUUUCUCUUAAACUACAGCGAUUUGCAAAU
Molecule: long non-coding RNA, 539 nt
Organism: Ictalurus punctatus (channel catfish)
Lineage: Eukaryota; Metazoa; Chordata; Actinopteri; Siluriformes; Ictaluridae
Source: Ensembl